GGAGUUAGCCGGUGCUUCUUCUGUGAGUGAUGUCCUUCCUGCCGGCUAUUAACCCGCAGGCCUUCUUCCUCACUGAAAGUGCUUUACAACCCGAAGGCCUUCUUCACACACGCGGCAUGGCUGGAUCAGGGUUGCCCCCAUUGUCCAAUAUUCCCCACUGCUGCCUCCCGUAGGAGUCUGGGCCGUGUCUCAGUCCCAGUGUGGCUGAUCAUCCUCUCAGACCAGCUACGGAUCGUCGCCUUGGUGAGCCGUUACCUCACCAACCAGCUAAUCCGACAUAGGCUCAUCCGAUAGCGCGAGGCCCGAAGGUCCCCCGAUUUCCCCCGUAGGGCGUAUGCGGUAUUAGCCUGGGUUUCCCCAGGUUAUCCCCCACUACCGGGCAGAUUCCUAUGCAUUACUCACCCGUCCGCCGCUCGCCACCAGGGAGCAAGCUCCCCGUGCUGCCGCUCGACUUGCAUGUGUUAGGCCUGCCGCCAGCGUUCAAUCUGAACCAAGAUCAAAUUCUGA
RNAcentral lists this ribosomal RNA (507 nucleotides) under uncultured bacterium. RNAcentral's name for it is "partial 16S ribosomal RNA". The record is from RNAcentral.